UACAGAGGAUGCAAGCGUUAUCCGGAAUUACUGGGCGUAAAGCGCACGUAGGCGGCUUUGUAAGUUAGAGGUGAAAGCCUGGAGCUCAACUCCAGAAUUGCCUUUAAGACUGCAUCGCUUGAAUCCAGGAGAGGUGAGUGGAAUUCCGAGUGUAGAGGUGAAAUUCGUAGAUAUUCGGAAGAACACCAGUGGCGAAGGCGGCUCACUGGACUGGUAUUGACGCUGAGGUGCGAAAGCGUGGGGAGCAAACAGG
RNAcentral lists this ribosomal RNA (253 nucleotides) under uncultured bacterium. Its description in RNAcentral is "partial 16S ribosomal RNA". It matches the Rfam family "Bacterial small subunit ribosomal RNA", at positions 524 to 776 of the family's 1533-position model. The record is from RNAcentral.